Molecule: ribosomal RNA, 253 nt
Filed under: uncultured bacterium
Lineage: Bacteria
Description: partial 16S ribosomal RNA
Rfam family: Bacterial small subunit ribosomal RNA
Source: RNAcentral
UACAGAGGUCUCAACCGUUGUUCGGAUUCAUUGGGCGUAAAGGGUGCGUAGGCGGCGGGGCAAGUCAGGUGUGAAAUCUCGGGGCUCAACCCCGAAACUGCACUUGAUACUGCCUUGCUCGAGUACUGGAGAGGAGACUGGAAUUUACGGUGUAGCAGUGAAAUGCGUAGAUAUCGUAAGGAAGACCAGUGGCGAAGGCGAGUCUCUGGACAGUUACUGACGCUGAGACGCGAAAGCGUGGGGAGCAAACAGG